CUCAAAUUAGAAGCUAAUCUGAAAUUGGAAACCUGGUCCCUGUUAAACGAGCUUCUCAAAAUAAUUUCCCAGGGAAGGUAGAACUCCGGCGAUCAAUCGAAAGCCACAGGUCCGACGUUUGACGACGAUGAACAGCGAUUUCCUUUUGCAUCCCCUUCCCCAUUUCAGUAAGCUUUUUUCUUUGGGUUUUCCAAAUUGUUAAAAUACAUUUGUAAUGUAUUAUUCCUUCAAGGUUUGAACGAACAUGUGUGUUAUUUUGAAGAUUAAAUUUUGAUGUACGUUAUUUUGAAGAUAUUUGAAAGAAGAAAGAAAACCGGAAGCCACAGGUCUCGAGUUUGACGACGAUGAACAACAAUUUCCUUCUCCAUCCCCGUCCCCAUUAAUUUAGUAAAAUUCUUUCUUCGGCUUUCGAAACUGUUAAAAUACAUUUGUAAUGUAUUAUUCCUUCAAGCUUUGAACGAGGUUUGUGUGUUAUUUUGAAGAUUAAAUUUUGGUGUGUGUUAUUUGAAAAUAUUUGAAAAAAGAAAGAUGUUGAAUUCCAUAAAUAUCAAAUUAUAGGGGUACAAUUUUUUUUGAAAAGUGUUAUGCAUUUAAAUUAAUCAUACAAAUAAAUAGAGAAGAGCAAUUAUCUUCUGGCAGCAAAUAUUUUUUAUGACAUUCGUUUUUCAUUUUUACGAUAUUUUCAAUUCAAAAUUUCUUGAGUUUAUGACAAUCAAUUCCUUAAAAUAUCUAAAUACAUAGUGGUCAAUAAAUUAUAAAAUUUCAUUUUGAGGAUUUAAUUGGAAUGUGAAACCAAAAUUUGAAGAGUAAAAGGUACACCAGAGGACUGUUUCUCCCAAAUCACGCCCAAACUGAAACCCUCACAAACGCAAAACGUUCUCCGGCCUCACCAUCUCCGACCACACUUCAGAUGACGGUACCAUCGCCACUCAGACAGCACUUCCAUCGUGGGUUUGGAACGAAGGUUAUCGUCGCUCUGGGGUCACUUCCGUCCAAAUUUAACCGUCAUCCUAGAUCACCAUCACCGAUCGGCGACAAAGGUUAUGCUUUAAAAAUUUCCUGGUUUUGCACAAUUCAAAGUUGUUGUUUUUCGAUUUUUAUUUUAUUUUAUUUUAUUUUUCACUAAAGCUUGUAUAGCCGAUAUUCGUGCGGUUUAUUUCCUCAUCAUGCUCCUUUUUUGGACUAGACUAAGAUAUUAUUGAAAAUUACUAUCACUUGUGCCUCUAUUUAUUUUCCAAUUCGCAAUUUUUUCUUUUCUGUUCAGUUGCUUGGCUACGUUGUGUUAGAANUGGGGUCACUUCCGUCCAAAUUUCACCGUCAUCCUAGAUCACCAUCACUGAUCGACGACAAAGGUUAUGCUUUAAAAAUUUCCUGGUUUUGCACAAUUCAAAGUUGUUGUUUUUCGUUUUUUAUUUUAUUUUAUUUUUCACUAAAGCUUGUAUAGCCGAUAUUCGUGCGGUUUAUUUCCUCAUUAUGCUCCUUUUUUGGACUAGACUAAGUUAUUAUUGAAAAUUACUAUCACUUGUGCCUCUAUUUAUUUUCCAAUUCGCAAUUUUUUCUUUUCUGUUCAGUUGCUUGGCUAUGUUGUGUUAGAAAAUUUUUUAUUCCAUCAGUUUUUCAACAUAUGGUUCAACUUAUAUGAUUAUAAAAAGAUGCAAAUUCUUGAGUUUUUUUUUUUUUCCACUGACGGUUGUCUGGCAGCAAAUGAAAGUUUUAAUCAUUUUAUUACAGGAUCACUCUAUGAAAUUUCAGUUCGAAUUAUGCAUGUUAUUCAAUAUUUAGGUGGUUUCGUUAAUUGUUAUGGUGACAAUAAAUUCUGUUGAGCUAACCGUGCAGUUUAUUUCUAUCGUAGAAUGGGCGGAAAGAAUACUUAAAUGUGUCACAGUUGCAGAGCUAAGGUUCAUUUCUUUGCCUAAUAAUAUCCAAGGAAAUGUCAAUGCCCGGAAUGCAAGCAUGAAUUUGAGAAGUGUUUAGUGAUAAAGAAACAAACAACGAAUAAAGGGCGAUUAUAUAUUUGUUGCAGUGCUAAUUGCAGAUUUUGGAUUGGAUUAUCAAAGAAGGAUCGAGCGAUCAAUCGUCUAAUGAUAACAGUUGACCAUUAAACUUUGUAACGAAUGAAAAUGUUGAAGCAAUGUUUGAGACGUUGGAAUCUCGGGUUCGACUGAAUGACGAAGAAAACCUACAUAUUUCGGUGAAUGUCAAAAUAUGCAAGGCCAAUUGUAGUGCAGAAGCGAAUGCAAAAGGGAAGCAGUCGAUGUAAUUAUUAGACAUAAAUUUGCUCGUCGACAUAACUUUUGUGUAUGUAGCAUUAUCUCGAGUAGUCGAGUUAGUUAUCGGUAUCUUCAUGUAGCUAUGGUCUACUGAUCAAUUUGGAUUAGGAAUUUGUAGACAUGAUUGCCACCAUUGUGAAGACAGAAUUAGGAAUUUUUAAUGCUAACAUGCAUUUCUCUACCAUUGA
Molecule: long non-coding RNA, 2458 nt
Filed under: Olea europaea subsp. europaea
Lineage: Eukaryota; Viridiplantae; Streptophyta; Magnoliopsida; Lamiales; Oleaceae
Source: RNAcentral